GACCCCAGGCCUGAAAAAAAAACUAGAGGGGCAUGGUGUCUUCCCCAAGACUGGGAAGCCAUGUGUCCCCAACAUUGAGCUCAAAGGUGGUGUGGGGUCUGAUGGCGUGUGGGGCGGGUGUCUAGGUCCCGAACCUGCCACACGUGGCUCGGUCUGAUUGCCAGUGGCCUCCUAUCCUUUUUUGAGAGACGUGGUAAGCUCAGUCAGGUCAAUGGAGGACUCUUGAGCCUGGCCUCAGAGGCAGAGAGCAUUACUGGGCAUCUCUGGACACGAUGGGGCCUCCCUGCACAGACAGAGGAGACAGUGCAAGAGUUAGGCAAGAAGAGCGCAUGUGCACCACCAUCCGAGUUGCCUGUGGGCCAGGAGGAUGGAUUCCUGCGCUCCUCAGAAAACGUCCCUUUGGAUGGGCAAGGAAAGUCAAGAUCAGCAUCCAGGUGACACCCGAUGAAGUGUUUCUGCCGUGGCGGUCCAUUCCCACCCCCCAAAGAACCAGCCCAGUCCACUCACCAGGCUCGCUGUCACGCCGAUGGCAGAAGGUGUCCCAACGGUGUUUCCCUGCCUCUCCCCACCGCCGACCCACUCCAGCGAGGAGGUGGGGAGACAAGUCUCCCCGCUCAGCUGCUGUGAGGAGGAGAGGUGGUCAAGUGCCGGCGGGAAUACUUCUGCGAUCAGCGCCAUGAGGAUGUUGAUGGGACGUGUGUGCUGUAGGCAGCCCAGUGAGUGGAUUGGACUGGUUCUCGGGGGGGAGAGGGGGGAAUGGACCAAUCCCCCGGAUAGGAAGACGAUGCACCCACGUCUAAUCCGCAUCCGGGAAGUGAACAUGAUUGUGUCCUGCCUUGUUGCAAACAGGAACUCUCAAAGCAUUACGAUGCUCUGAAGAAGGGCUGGGAAGAAUGUCAAACCUGGAAUGAUGAUCCAGGAAGAAAAAUUCCCGUCAUCCCUCACUUCACCAGAGCCGACAGGGGCUGCAGCCCAUCCGGGCCUGCCAGGAUGCAGGAUGCAGGGAGCCACCCGACAGUGUUAAGAAGCAAACCCCGGACUCAAGAGGGGUGGGGUCUGGACCACUCCAUGAAGACGGGAGGGUGAAUUUGCUGUCAAAGCUGGGUGGACCUGCCGGUUCCCCAAGGCCUAGGGGGCCGAAAAUGGAAUGCAGCCUCGUAAGGAAGUGUUGCCGCAGGGAGGGCGGCCGGGUAAAAUUCCUCGUCUGCUUUCUGGCAGGAACUACGCUAAGUCCCAGCGAAGAGAACUGAAGCAAACCUUGCGAGAAUAAUAUUAAAAAAACAGCAUCACUUCACCAGAGCCGACAGGGGCUGCAGCCCAUCCGGGCCUGCCAGGCUGCAGGGUGCGGGAGCCACACGACAGUGUUAAGAAGCAAACCCUGGACUCAAGAGGGGUGGGGUCUGGAUCACUCCAUGAAGACGGGAGGGCGAAUUUGCUGCCAAAGCUGGGUGGACCUGCCGGUUCCCCAAGGCCUAGGGGGCCGAAAAUGGAAUGCAGCCGACCUUCCACAUCACACUCUUUCGCCUUGAGUGAAAGCCGCUUCUUCCUACGUGAAGAUGGAUCUGGAUGGUGCAGCAUCAUCCUUUCUGGCUUCCUUGCUGAUGAGCUGCCUUCCUUCCCUCUCUCCCUCCCCCAGGGCUGUGGCCAGCAGGAUGCCCCCCACCCCACCCACCCCCGGAG
Molecule: long non-coding RNA, 1680 nt
Filed under: Pogona vitticeps (central bearded dragon)
Lineage: Eukaryota; Metazoa; Chordata; Lepidosauria; Squamata; Agamidae
Description: lncRNA (ENSPVIG00000012507.1)
Source: RNAcentral